CUCGAGGUUAGCUCUUCACUGCCCUGUGUCUUCUUUCCAAGGGUCUCGGUGAUUCGGCCACAGCCUCAGCCUCCAUCACGCGGUGAACUGAUGGUGCUGGAAGAUUCAUAGACUCCAGGACAUUCCUGAAGCCGAGAAAAGGUUAAGUAGGGUCUGGCCUGGAAUACUCUCCUAGAUGAAGAUAGCCCAACCAUGAGCCACCUUCGAAGCAGAUGAGAUGAAAUUAAAGCUCUUCAACUCCUAAAGGCCCAGAGACUAUCACAAAAGAGGUGGGCAUGUGAGAUUGUAAGAACUGAUUUUGAGAGAUAAAAUAAGUUCAGUUUUUCUAUACAUUAAUCAUUAAUGUCAAAGGCACACUAAUGCAAGACCAGAAUAGGGGCCCCAGUGUUAGAUUAACAAGGUUUUCUUGAAGCAUUAACUGACUCCUUAAUAAAGGCUUAUAGAAGUUAUAUCUCAUGGUCAAGAUUAGAAUUUUAUAGAUUGUUCAUAACAUUUUGAAAAACAAAUUUAAUUGGCUUUAUGCUGUUUUAUUGAAGAUUAUUGUUUGGAAAAUUAAGUCUUGUCUCCCAAAGAAUGAAGGUUUUUUCUUUUUUUGUUUUUGAAAUCUUUAUUACUUUGGUCAAAUUAAUGACUUAUUUUACAAUGACCUGUGACAUCAGGUGUUUUAAAUCUUUGAUAUUUGACUGAGAUUCUUUCUGUGGAACAAAGUUCCAUCAAACUUUCCAAAAUCAAAUUAUAAAUUAUGUAUUUUUCUUACCUAAUCCUUUAAAAUAUUAUGUUCCCUAAAGUUUAAAAAUGACAUAAUUUUGCUUAUUUCUUAUAAAAAUUAUACAGAGAACGUUGUUGAAUAUGAAAUGGUGUUUGGUUUUUUUGGGCUGUGUUUGUAUAAGUAUAUUAUUGGUAUUUGUUCUAAAAUUAUGGGAAACUCCUAUAAUUCUUAUAUGACUUAGUGUACAUUAUUAGCAGUAAUUAUAAUUGCUAUAUUGCCACAGAGGUAACAAAUUUCCUUGUCAAUUGUAUCUUUGACUUUGGUUGCCUUAAAACUUUUUGUCAUUCACAGACAAUUGUAUUGUUUUGGUCCUCUUUAGAAGGUGGUUUUAUAAUCAGCUAUAAAACUCUUAACAGGUGGUCUUGAAUGCAAGUUUCUGAUAACUUUGGAGAUGGUGACAUCAGAGUAGAGGAAAAAAAUUCAGAACUCAUGGAGAGCUGAAAUGUUCAUGAAUAUUAAGCAGAACAAGGAUUAAGUGCAUGCAUUGAACUAUUAGAAGACUGAAGUAAUCUUUUUUUCUUUUUUUGAGUCGGGGUUUCACUCGGUCUUCCAGGCUGGAGUCCAGUGGUGUGAUCUCAGCUGAAUUACAGAUGCAUGCCACCACACCUGGCUAAGUUUUGUAUUUUUAGUAGAGACGGGGUUUCACCAUGUUGGUCAGGCUGGUCCAAACUCCUGACCUCAUGAUCUGCCUGCUUGGCCUCCCAAAGUGUUGGGAUUAUAGGCGUGAGCCACCGAGACCAGCUGAUCUUUUUGACUUUUUACUUAAAAUGUUGCUGAUCCUUUCUUUUGUUUUCUGAGUCAAGGAAACCUACCUUUUGAUCUAUUUACAGCUUUUAACAAGUUAGUAUACUCCUGUGAACAAAAUUUAAAGCAUAUUUAAUUCUCUCUACUUGAUUUCUCUAGAAUUUGGAAACUAUUUGUGAGUAUUCUUAACUUAUGGCAAUACAUUUAUUUGCAUAAGUGCAUUAAGAAUGUUUUUUUUUGUUUGUUUUGUUGUGUUAUUUAUUUAUUUUUUGAGACAGAGUCUCACUCUGUUGCCAGGCUAGAGUGUGGUGGCCCGAUCUUGGCUCACUGCAACCUCUGCCUCCUGGGUUCAAGCAAUCCUCCUGCCUUGGCCUCCCAGGUAGCUGGGACUACAGGCGAGCGCCACCAUGCCCAGCUGAUUUUUUAUAUUUUUAGUAGAGAUAGGGUUUCACCAUGCUGGCCACUAUGGUCUUGAUCUCUUGACCUCAUGAUUCACCCAUCUUGACCUCCCAAAGUGCUGUGAUUACAGGCAUGAGCCACCACGCCCUGCCAAGAAUCUGGUUUUUAUAAGUAACAGGACACAAUUGGAGAAACUGGUUAUUUUACCAACACUUUGACUGGAAUGGUGUUCCUUUUUUAAGGAAUCAAACUUGAUUUAUGGAGCCAAUUAAAAGCCCCUCGGGAAAACUGGAUUCAAAUCUUGUCUACAUAUUCCCUGUACUAUGACAUUUUUACUUACCACAGGUCAGAAAUCCUGAAGGUCACUUUCUGACAAACUCAGGAACCCCAGGUUUAUCUUGGAGCCUCAAGAGGAGAUAAAUUCACCCAACUCAGGUAUUUGAUGGUACAAAUCCAUGUCUGGGGUUGGCUUUUAAAAAGUAUUAUCUGAGAUUCCUUCUGUGGAACAAAGUUCCAUCGGGGAAAAAUUGUGCAAAUGUAAUAAAUUUGGAAAAACACUUUUUCAAAAACUACAGCUUAGAAAACAACAGAGAGUUCAUACUGGAGUAUGCUUUUGCAGAUGCAGUACAUGUAAAAAAAUAUUUAAUCCAUAAUUAAGUCUAUGCAAAUAUCAGAAUUUAUGGUAGAAAUAUAUAAGGCACUGACACACUUCACGUAUUCUAAAUCAGUGCUGAGUAUAGGAAAUCUAAAACUAAAGUUGGCAGAAAAAUUAUUUGUAUGUAACUUUCAGAGGAUCAGAAGGUUUUUUGCAGAAUUAUAAUUACAUUCAAAGUAUAUUUCUUGAAAAAAAUACAGAUUUUUUGAAAAGUGAAUAAUGAUGUCAUUCAACUCUGAAAUUAUUUCCUGCUGUUUCUUCAUUCCUAUUGGAGUCAAAUGUGAAAGCAUAGGAUCAAUUGUUGCUGCGUCAAAGAUGUGAGAGAUUCUUUUUGUUUUGUUUUGUUUUCUGUUUUUUUGAGAUGGAAUUUCGCUCUUUUGCCCAGGCUGGAGUGCAGUGGAAUGAUCUUGGCUCACUUCCGUCUCCGCCUUCCAGUUUCAAGUGAUUCUCCUGCCUCAGCCUACUGAGUAGUUGGGAUUACAGGUGCCUGCCACCACACCCAGCUAAUUUUUGUAUUUUUAGUAAAGAUGGGGUUUCACCAUGUUGGCCAGGCUGGUCUCAAACUCCUGACGUCAUGAUCUGCCCGCUUCAGUCUCCCAAAGUGUGAUUACAGGUGUGAGCCACCAUGCCUGGCAAGGCAUUCUUUUUUAUUAGGGGGGUGUUGUUUAUUACCUCUUCUAUAGAAAAGUAAAGACAUUAAAAUGUAAGAUGCAUAAUAAAAAUCUAAGUGGAGAGGCUCUUAUAACCUAUAAUAUUGAGUGAUGCAUCAGGUAGGUGUUCAGAGUAAUCUGCAUUAUCAUGAGAAGAAAACAUGUUUAAUUUUAUUUAAAAUUAAAUGAGUAGUAUAUUAUUGUACUAAUUGUACUAAUUUUUUCUGAGACAGAGUUUUGCUCUUGGUGCCCAGGCUGGAGUGCAUUGGCACGAUCUCUGGCUCACUGUGACCUCUGCCUCCCAGAUUCAAGUGAUUCUCCUGCCUCAGCCUCCUGAGUAGCUGGGAUUACGGGCAUGUGCCCCCAUGCCUGGCUAAUUUUGAAUUUUUAGUAGAAACAGGGUUUCUCCAUGUUGGUCAGGCUGGUCUUGAACUGCCAACCUCAGGUGAUCUGCCCACUUUGGCCUCCCAAAGUGCUGGGAUUACAGGCAUGAGCCACCGAGCCUGGCCUGAUUGUACUUUUAUAUAAUAAAAUGCAGUACAUUUAUAAAUUUUAGAUUAUGUGUGAAGUUAAUAGUUUAAUUCAACAUUUUUAACAUGUUAAAUACUAUUGUGCAUUCAAUGAAGCGUUAUUAUGCCACAAACUUUAACCUCUUUCACCUUACUCAAGGGUAUAGGUAAAAGAUGGUAACAAUAUACUGUUUAGUAAGAUAAUAGAUUAACAUCUCUAGUGAUUUUUUUUUUUUGCCAGUGGCUUUCAACUGCAAAUAAGUUAAAGAAUAUUGUUUCUGUAGGUAAAUUUUUAUUCUGUUUUUAAUCAUUUAAAUUUAUUUUAAUUUUGGUGGCUGCAUGAGUAUCUAUGCAAUAUAUGGCAUGUUUUAAUACAGGAAUACAAUAUAUAAUAAUAAUAUCAGCAUUAAGUGAGGCAUCCUUCACCUGUAGCAUUUAUCCUAUGUUUUAUAAUCCAAUUCUACACUUUUUUUUAAAUUUAAAAUGUACAAUUAAAUUGUUAUUUACUACAGGGUUAUUUUUAUGGUCAUAAUAAAAAUUAUAUAUGAGUAUAAAUAAAAUUCAUUGUUAAAUUCUUAAUAUUUUUUCAAAUUUCUUAUAUAUUUUUCUUGGAACAUGUGGCCUGUCUGCCUGCAAACACAUAAGACUUUUAGUUUUGAUUUACAUAGAGUUAAAUAUUUAUUAAUCUAAAGACAAACCUUAGGUGUAAGAAAAUUAUGGAGUAAGUGUGUUGGGAGUUUGAGACCAGCCAGACCAACGUGGAUUAACCCCGUCUCUACUAAAAACACAAAAUUAGCCGGGCGUGGUGGCAUAUGCCUGUAAUCCCAGCUACUUGGGAGGCUAAGCCAGGAGAAUCGCUUGAGCAUGGGAGGCGGAGGCGGAGGUUGCAGUGAGCCGAGAUCACGCCAUUGCACUCCAGCCUGGGCAGCAAGAGUGAAACUCUGUCUCAAAAAAAAAAAAAAAA
This is a long non-coding RNA of Homo sapiens (human), 4690 nucleotides long. Lineage: Eukaryota; Metazoa; Chordata; Mammalia; Primates; Hominidae. The record is from Ensembl.